UCAACGGAGAGUUUGAUCCUGGCUCAGGACGAACGCUGGCGGCGUGCUUAACACAUGCAAGUCGAACGGUGACGAGGAGCUUGCUCCUCUGAUCAGUGGCGAACGGGUGAGUAACACGUGAGUAACCUGCCCCAGACUCUGGGAUAACAGUUGGAAACAGCUGCUAAUACCGGAUACGAGACGGAGAGGCAUCUCUACCGUCUGGAAAGUUUUUCGGUCUGGGAUGGACUCGCGGCCUAUCAGCUUGUUGGUGAGGUAAUGGCUCACCAAGGCGACGACGGGUAGCCGGCCUGAGAGGGCGACCGGCCACACUGGGACUGAGACACGGCCCAGACUCCUACGGGAGGCAGCAGUGGGGAAUAUUGCACAAUGG
This 373-nucleotide ribosomal RNA is filed under the name Dermatophilaceae bacterium. RNAcentral's name for it is "bacterial SSU rRNA". It matches the Rfam family "Bacterial small subunit ribosomal RNA", at positions 1 to 374 of the family's 1533-position model. The record is from RNAcentral. Lineage: Bacteria; Bacillati; Actinomycetota; Actinomycetes; Micrococcales; Dermatophilaceae.